This 77-nucleotide transfer RNA is filed under the name Acinetobacter sp. CIP-A165. RNAcentral's name for it is "tRNA-Met". It matches the Rfam family "tRNA". Rfam says of the family: Transfer RNA (tRNA) molecules are approximately 80 nucleotides in length. Their secondary structure includes four short double-helical elements and three loops (D, anti-codon, and T loops). Further hydrogen bonds mediate the characteristic L-shaped molecular structure. tRNAs have two regions of fundamental functional importance: the anti-codon, which is responsible for specific mRNA codon recognition, and the 3' end, to which the tRNAs corresponding amino acid is attached (by aminoacyl-tRNA synthetases). tRNAs cope with the degeneracy of the genetic code in two manners: having more than one tRNA (with a specific anti-codon) for a particular amino acid; and 'wobble' base-pairing, i.e. permitting non-standard base-pairing at the 3rd anti-codon position. The record is from RNAcentral. Lineage: Bacteria; Pseudomonadati; Pseudomonadota; Gammaproteobacteria; Moraxellales; Moraxellaceae. RNAcentral also lists the same sequence under 13 other names.
GGGCCUAUAGCUCAGUUGGUUAGAGCAGCGGACUCAUAAUCCGUUGGUCCCGUGUUCGAGUCACGGUGGGCCCACCA